GCACUUGUGGCCAAUCUCAAGUUCUCACUCUGUCCAGAGAGGAAUUACAAAGAGCUGAUUUACUUGCUGACCCACCACAGUGAUUGGGUCUCUUUUUGUGGACCUAUCUUCAGUUCACCAUUUCUUCCCUGGAAGUAGCUGGAAAAGGGAACCACAAAUACAUGCUUGUACCUGGUUAGCCACCAUCUCAGACAAAAAGAAACCAGAUGAAAAAGAGGCAAUGAAUAAAGAAUUUGCAACUAAAACAUCGGUAUAAUUUCUCAGUCUCUCAUUAGUUCUCAGUUUAUCUCAUCUUCUCACUAAGAGGAACAUGACCUAUUUUGGGUGCCAGGUGCAUAUACAUCGUGUGCAUUAUCCCUCACAGAACAAACAUUUGCAGAGUUAGAAAAGGAAAUUAUAGCAUCGUUGUUGAAAACUGUGAAGGGGGGAUACUUCACAGAAGGAAAGCUGGAUAAUAAGAAGUACUUUAAUCCUGAGCGUUGCAUAAAUUCCAUGAAGCUAAGCCAUUCCAAGAGCCAUUCCAUGAGGAAAAAAACAAUUGCUGGGGUUACUGCUUAAAUCUGUAAACAAUUGUUCUUUGUUGGUAUAAAUGUGUGUACAAUCAGAAUUACAGAAUGCAAGAGCUGAAAAAGCUCUAGAAAGUCAUUCUACAUAUAAGCAUAUACUGUAUAGAAAGCUUGGGAGAAAUGCAUCUUUUUUUCAUUUUGUAGGUAUAAAUAUUGUAGAUCAUCAUCACUGGAUAAAUAGAAAUGCCAAGGAAUAAUACAUUCAUAGUUUUUAAUCUAUUGUUUAUUGAAAUUUUACCCUUAUCAGUACAGCUUGCUUGAUUGCUAUGUAAUGAAUGUAAUCUUUAUCAAAGAUGUACAUCUCUUGCUACAUUUCAAGGUUUGGACUAUUAGAAUGUAAGAAAAAACUAUAUGGAUGAUAAAG
Ahaetulla prasina is the source of this 930-nucleotide long non-coding RNA. RefSeq lists it as uncharacterized. The transcript is spliced from 3 exons. The record is from RefSeq and is a predicted model, not a curated record. Lineage: Eukaryota; Metazoa; Chordata; Lepidosauria; Squamata; Colubridae.